This 163-nucleotide small nuclear RNA is filed under the name Echeneis naucrates (live sharksucker). RNAcentral's name for it is "U1 spliceosomal RNA (ENSENLG00000006206.1)". It matches the Rfam family "U1 spliceosomal RNA". Rfam says of the family: U1 is a small nuclear RNA (snRNA) component of the spliceosome (involved in pre-mRNA splicing). Its 5' end forms complementary base pairs with the 5' splice junction, thus defining the 5' donor site of an intron. There are significant differences in sequence and secondary structure between metazoan and yeast U1 snRNAs, the latter being much longer (568 nucleotides as compared to 164 nucleotides in human). Lineage: Eukaryota; Metazoa; Chordata; Actinopteri; Carangiformes; Echeneidae. The record is from Rfam by way of RNAcentral.
AUACUUACCUGGCAGGGGAGAUACCGUGAUCAAGAAGGUGGUUCACCCAGGGCGAGGCUCAACAUUGCACUCCGGUUGUGCUGACCACUGCGAAUUCCCCAAAUGUGGGAAUCUCGACUGCAUCAUUUCUGGUAGUGGGGGACUGCGUUCGCGCUCUCCCCUG